Molecule: ribosomal RNA, 379 nt
Filed under: uncultured Sellaphora sp.
Lineage: Eukaryota; Bacillariophyta; Bacillariophyceae; Naviculales
Description: SSU rRNA
Rfam family: Eukaryotic small subunit ribosomal RNA
Source: RNAcentral
CCAGCUCCAUUAGCGUAUAUUAACGUUGUUGCAGUUAAAAAGCUCGUAGUUGGAUUUGUGGUUCCUUGCGCGGUCCAAAAUCUUUUGGUACUGUCGCGAGGAGCCAUCCUUGGGUGGAACCUGUGUGGCAUUAGGUUGUCGCGCAGGGGAUGCCCAUCGUUUACUGUGAAAAAAUUAGAGUGUUCAAAGCAGGCUUACGCCGUUGAAUAUAUUAGCAUGGAAUAAUGAGAUAGGACCUUGGUACUAUUUUGUUGGUUUGCGCACCGAGGUAAUGAUUAAUAGGGACAGUUGGGGGUAUUCGUAUUCCAUUGUCAGAGGUGAAAUUCUUGGAUUUCUGGAAGACGAACUACUGCGAAAGCAUUUACCAAGGAUGUUUUCA